AAUGGUUUUUUGUUUAAAUGUUUUUUCGCCUAAGGAUGGGUCUGCGGCCGAUUAGGUAGUUGGUUAGGUAAUGGCUUACCAAGCCGUUGAUCGGUACGGGUUGUGAGAGCAAGAGCCCGGAGGUGGAACCUGAGACAAGGUUCCAGGCCCUACGGGGUGCAGCAGGCGCGAAACCUCCGCAAUGUGAGAAAUCGCGACGGGGGGAUCCCAAGUGCCAUUCUUAACGGGAUGGCUUUUCAUUAGUGUAAAGAGCUUUUGGAAUAAGAGCUGGGCAAGACCGGUGCCAGCCGCCGCGGUAACACCGGCAGCUCUAGUGGUAACAAUUUUUAUUGGGCCUAAAGCGUCCGUAGCCGGUUUAAUAAGUCUCUGGUGAAAUCCUGUAGCUUAACUGUGGGAAUUGCUGGAGAUACUAUUAGACUUGAGACCGGGAGAGGUUAGAGGUACUCCCAGGGUAGAGGUGAAAUUCUGUAAUCCUGGGAGGACCGCCUGUUGCGAAGGCGUCUAACUGGAACGGUUCUGACGGUGAGGGACGAAAGUUAGGGGCGCGAACCGGAUUAGAUACCCGGGUAGUCCUAACUGUAAACGAUGCGGACUUGGUGUUGGGGUGGCUUUGAGCUGCUCCAGUGCCGAAGGGAAGCUGUUAAGUCCGCCGCCUGGGAAGUACGGUCGCAAGACUGAAACUUAA
RNAcentral lists this ribosomal RNA (685 nucleotides) under uncultured archaeon. RNAcentral's name for it is "bacterial SSU rRNA". It matches the Rfam family "Archaeal small subunit ribosomal RNA", at positions 174 to 859 of the family's 1478-position model. The record is from RNAcentral.